RNAcentral lists this non-coding RNA (27 nucleotides) under Mus musculus (house mouse). The record is from RNAcentral. Lineage: Eukaryota; Metazoa; Chordata; Mammalia; Rodentia; Muridae.
UGCACUCGUGUCUUGAGAAGUAACUGU